This 498-nucleotide ribosomal RNA is filed under the name Staphylococcus aureus. RNAcentral's name for it is "bacterial SSU rRNA". It matches the Rfam family "Bacterial small subunit ribosomal RNA", at positions 1 to 481 of the family's 1533-position model. The record is from RNAcentral. Lineage: Bacteria; Bacillati; Bacillota; Bacilli; Caryophanales; Staphylococcaceae.
UUUAUGGAGAGUUUGAUCCUGGCUCAGGAUGAACGCUGGCGGCGUGCCUAAUACAUGCAAGUCGAGCGAACGGAUGAGAAGCUUGCUUCUCUGAUGUUAGCGGCGGACGGGUGAGUAACACGUGGAUAACCUACCUAUAAGACUGGGAUAACUUCGGGAAACCGGAGCUAAUACCGGAUAAUAUUUUGAACCGCAUGGUUCAAAAGUGAAAGACGGUCUUGCUGUCACUUAUAGAUGGAUCCGCGCUGCAUUAGCUAGUUGGUAAGGUAACGGCUUACCAAGGCAACGAUGCAUAGCCGACCUGAGAGGGUGAUCGGCCACACUGGAACUGAGACACGGUCCAGACUCCUACGGGAGGCAGCAGUAGGGAAUCUUCCGCAAUGGGCGAAAGCCUGACGGAGCAACGCCGCGUGAGUGAUGAAGGUCUUCGGAUCGUAAAACUCUGUUAUUAGGGAAGAACAUAUGUGUAAGUAACUGUGCACAUCUUGACGGUACCUA